AAGAAAGUGACAGAAUGGUUAUGUGGCUGGCUUGAAACCAUCUUAAGGGGGUUCAACUCCUCCCUUUCUCG
RNAcentral lists this transfer RNA (71 nucleotides) under Cociella crocodilus (crocodile flathead). Its description in RNAcentral is "tRNA-Ser". It matches the Rfam family "tRNA". From Rfam's summary of the family: Transfer RNA (tRNA) molecules are approximately 80 nucleotides in length. Their secondary structure includes four short double-helical elements and three loops (D, anti-codon, and T loops). Further hydrogen bonds mediate the characteristic L-shaped molecular structure. tRNAs have two regions of fundamental functional importance: the anti-codon, which is responsible for specific mRNA codon recognition, and the 3' end, to which the tRNAs corresponding amino acid is attached (by aminoacyl-tRNA synthetases). tRNAs cope with the degeneracy of the genetic code in two manners: having more than one tRNA (with a specific anti-codon) for a particular amino acid; and 'wobble' base-pairing, i.e. permitting non-standard base-pairing at the 3rd anti-codon position. The record is from RNAcentral. Lineage: Eukaryota; Metazoa; Chordata; Actinopteri; Perciformes; Platycephalidae.